UUCGUCUGCACGUUAAUGGUUUCUGUAAUUCCGUUCCUCGUCGAAGUCCUAACAUAAAAAUUUUCGUAGGAUUUUCAAUUAAGCAUCAUGUUAUUUUGAAAAAGUCAGCCAUGUCACUGUCAGCAUGUCAGCUAUGGAAUUGUUUUAUGUGGAAUGCGUUGUAAAAUUUUCUUUUCGUUUUUUCUAGCAGUUUCUCUACUGCAUGAUCAAUCGUAAUUCAUUUGUUAGACACUUAAACAAGUCACGUUUUAAGGAAAUGUUUGAAACCACUUUGGAUUCCCAGACUGUAUCGUGAACUACAUCGUGUGACUACAACAGUUGAAGCAUGAAUUUUUCUUGUGUGCAUCGGAUUUUCAAUCUCUGUUCUGUAAGUGGUGGGUGUUGCAAGAAAUUUGUUUCUCAGGAUCUGUGUCUGGCCAUCAUCUGGCUGCUUCAACAACUCAAUGCAAAAGUGUAACUGUGAACGUGAGUCUUGAGAUUAUUGGGUUCACAAGUGUGAGUGGCAAGUAACACUCUGACUUCUCCCCAGAAAAUGUAUCAACUGCCAGCAACCAUGCAGAUGAUGGAUUUGAAAAGAUUAUAGCUUUUAAAGCUUUUCAGUUUCCUCCAGAUCUCAAUUUUGGUAAUCAAGUUUAAGCUCUCCUUCAUCGGGGUGAUGUGACGAACCAUUUAAAUUCGGCUAGUCAACAUUCCGUUUUUAUGCUUAUCCGUUUGGAGUAGGAAAUCUUUUAUAAUUCAAAUAUAUUUACUGAAUAAUUAUUCAGUAAAGACAGUUUAUCCCGUUUCCCCCUACUCGUGUGCUUGAACCUCUAAGACGCGACUUACUUGAAAGACAAUAUUGCGCAAACGAUGUAGGAAAAGAAGAGGGCAAGAAAAAUAACGCGAUAAUGUCCAAACACUGAAACCUGUUAAGCGAAGAUUGCUGUAUUGAGUAGCGCAUCAAAACGGAGUUUAGUUCGUCUUCUGUUCACUGUCUUAUUAAUAAUUCGUUCCAUACACUGGAUGGUACCGUCCAUCAGAUUGGACCUGCAGAACGCACAGUCGCGGAAGUAAGGUGGUUGCGCUGCCACAUCUUUCUACAGUAAAUGCAACGGCAGCUUGAUCAUCUAUAUGUCAUCCUCCAAUUAGAAUUGAAAGUGAAUCUGGACUUUCGGCCAGUGUAGCAAAGACCGGACGCCAGGUUUUGUUCCAACUCCACAACUUGCCAAAUAUUUGGCAGCCUGUCUUCAAUCCUAGAAGUGGUGGAGUGUCUGUUCGUGAGUGAAUGAAGCAAGUUCGUCAUUUGCUUUUGAGACGGUGGACCACAGGUGGACGGAAAUGUGAUGCUGACGUGUUUUUUGUUUUGUUUUUACAUGUUAAAAUGCUGAAGUAUUUUCACGCAAUUCGACCAAGCUGAAUCGAAAGUGAACAACUCUUAAAGCAACAUGUCGAAGAUCUUUCUUCUGCCUUUUUCUACGUGAUAGCUGCCAUGUCAUAAAGAUGCGUCUUUGAGAGAGUCACUAUAUUGCAAGACAAAAGUGUGAUGAAAAUAGGAAUACUGAAAUGAUUUCCAUGGUCAGUUUGAUGUUUGAGCUGCCUAAUGGUGUUGCUGUUUGGUGUACAGUGGUUUUGCAGUCAUUUUCCAUUUGAGAGAUAUUCUGAAAUGGAGCUUGUGGAGACUUGCAGUUCAACAUCAUACUAUAAUGUGUUAUUUGCCUAUGUCGGUGUUCAUGCAGUAUAUGCACUUAUGCAGUGAUGAACAGUUGGGCUAGUCAAUGUUGCUUGUGGCUGUCUGGCUUAUUUUAUCGGCUGCAUUUUGUCGAUAUGUCUUCUCUUGCUACCUGUACCGUCGUUGAGUUGAUUCGUUUGCCGCCGUUCCUUAGACUUGAUCCACCGGUGAAACUAAGAACUUAAGAAGACGUAGCUGAAAUUCAAGAUUGCUCAAUAAAUUUAUUACAAGUGCAUAAUCUGGGCUCCCUUCUUCAGUGGCCCCGUUUCCCUAAAUAACCACUAACCAACGCCCGCCGG
Daphnia pulicaria is the source of this 2007-nucleotide long non-coding RNA. RefSeq lists it as uncharacterized. Lineage: Eukaryota; Metazoa; Arthropoda; Branchiopoda; Diplostraca; Daphniidae. The record is from RefSeq and is a predicted model, not a curated record. The transcript is spliced from 10 exons.